Molecule: ribosomal RNA, 582 nt
Filed under: uncultured bacterium
Lineage: Bacteria
Description: bacterial SSU rRNA
Rfam family: Bacterial small subunit ribosomal RNA
Source: RNAcentral
AGAGUUUGAUCCUGGCUCAAAAUCAACGCUGGCGGCGCGCUUAACACAUGCAAGUCGAACGAGAAAGCCCGCAAGGGUGAGUAAAGUGGCGUACGGGUGAGUAACACGUGGGUAAUCUACCUUUUGGUGGGGAAUAACCCUGGGAAACCGGGGCUAAUACCGCAUAAGCUCGAAAGAGGAAAGGAGCAAUUCGCCGAAAGAGGAGCCCGCGGCUGAUUAGCUAGUUGGUGAGGUAAAGGCUCACCAAGGCUAUGAUCGGUAGCCGGCCUGAGAGGGCACACGGCCACACUGGCACUGAAACACGGGCCAGACUCCUACGGGAGGCAGCAGUGGGGAAUCUUGCACGAUGGGGGAAACCCUGAUGCAGCGACGCCGCGUGAGUGAUGAAGCCCUUCGGGGUGUAAAGCUCUUUCGGCAGGGACGAUAAUGACGGUACCUGAAAAAGAAGCUGCGGCUAACUACGUGCCAGCAGCCGUGGUAAUACGUACGCAGCGAGCGUUGUUCGGAGUUACUGGGCGUAAAGAGUGCGUAGGCGGUUUUUCUAAGUUGUGGUGUGAAAUCUCCCGGCUUAGCUGGGGAGGG